AGGAAAGUGCAUCAGAUUUCUCAUCAUGUUCUGGGCUUCUUUCCUUUUCUCGUUGCUGGUGAACUCCUCAGGGUCCUCUGCCCAGUAUGUCCUGACCCAGCCAUUAUCCGUGUCUGUCCCGCUGGAACAGAAUGAAAGGAUCACUUGUUCAGCAAACAACAUUGAAGGAAAGAAUGUUCACUGGUACCAGCAGAAGCCUGGAGAUCCUCCUGUUCUGAUUAUGUAUAAUGAUAAAUGGAGGCCCACAGGGAUCUCAGACCGAUUUUCCGGCACCAACUCUGGUAACACAGCCGCCCUAAGCAUCUCCAGAGCCCAAGCACAGGAUGAGGCAGUAUAUUACUGCCAGGUGUUUGACAAUAAUCAGUGCACCGUGAUACAAAUUAAGGAGGAAGUAUAG
Molecule: non-coding RNA, 397 nt
Organism: Pseudonaja textilis
Lineage: Eukaryota; Metazoa; Chordata; Lepidosauria; Squamata; Elapidae
Source: the annotation of a RefSeq genome assembly